CAACAACUUCUUUCUGGAAGGCAGAUCCAAGCAGCACAUCCCCAAGGCUGCUAGUCACCCAUGUUUCUAAAUCCAGCUGAGCAUCUUCCCAGAGUCUGAUUGUUUACUGUAUAGACCAAGGAGGACCAGAGUUCAAUGCCCCCCAGUUGUAUUCUAGUUGUGAGUGCCUCCGAUUGUGCUAUGUGGGACACCGCCUCAGCAUGGCCUGACGAGCGGUGCCAUGUCCACGCCCAGGAUCCGAACCGGUGAAACCCUGGGCCACUGAAGCAGAGCGUGCAAACUUAACCACUCAGCUACGGGGCCGGCCCCAAUCAAUAUGUUUUAAUGACUCUACUGCAGAUGCUGAAACAGUCAUACUCAUCGAAGUUCAUUUUGAGUCAAUCAGAUCAGUGUGGAAUGUCUUUCAACAUGGAAAUGGCCAAAGCUUCAUGGAUGCACUUUCUGGAAUAACGUGAUCAUGAGCUCAACCAAGGAUGACCUAUUGCAAAGAUUUUAAGAAGUCCUAGAAAAUUCUGGCUCAAUAUCUGGGUGACAGUCACAGCAUGCAUAAAAAAUGAAAGUGAAUCGCUACUGCCACUGUCACCUACUUAGAAUGCCUCAUCAGUGACUGCCCUUUUCAAAGAGGCUGUUCAGUUGUCAACUCCAAAAUAUAGGAACUCUCAGCCUUCCUGAGUCCAUUAGACUUUCUGUUUUUCUUUUAUGAAGGGAUCCAUUUCUGAGUCACUGUGUCACGUUCAUGGUAAAGAAAAAGAGCAGUAUGUAUAGAGAGUUGGACUCCUGAACAGGAAGGUGCCUUUUGUGAUAUCAAGCAGAUACUGGUUUCCCUGUGUGGGUCCAAAAGAGUCUGUACCACCUGGCUGGGUUCAGUUGUGCCUAUCCAUAAAGCGCCAGAUGGCCCCCAGACGCCAGCCUUGCUUACUCAUCAAAAGCGGUGUCAUCUCUAUACCAGCAUGAUGCACACAUUGAUAAAGUUAUGCGGUUAUCAGGGGACUGGGGACAUUUUAUAAACACACCAGCUUCUACGCCUUUACCAUUCAUAAUGUUUGCAGACCACUUUGGGGAUUUUUCUCCAAGGAUAAAUCAACCCCUUUAAUCUUGGUAUCAGCCAUACAUCACUGAGGUAUUUCGCUCUGUUGUUUUUUCGGUUUACAAGAUGAAUGAAACGCUUCCUUUUGGAUCUCCAGCCAGCAUAUGAUGCAAGAACCACUUGGCAACCUCAGACUCCUGGGAGCCCCAUUACACAGCUAGCUCUCUGACUCCCAAACCAUCAACAUUGUUGUUUUUAAUUAAUAGAGAUUUGGAACUACGUUUCUGUUCAAAAACCAGAUUUUAGAGAAAAAUCUCCCUGAAAUUAGCCCUGGGCAAGGUCCAGAAUUGACUAACCCACCUCACAUUUCUUCAGAGAUCUUUUCUUCGCCUUUCUGCUUGAAGAAGGGGAGUGAUAUCCACUGGUCUCCACCACCCCCUGUAAAGAAAAUCUUGCAAAUAACUCACUUUACAAUUUACCAAUAGCAGUAGCUAUUUCAUAUGACUUGAAUAAAGGUGAUUAUAUUUCUGUUUUUCAAAAUAAAUUUCAUCUGAAUAAUCUUUAUUCCAUUAUUUCUGUAUUUCAGUCCUUCAUAUUUUUUAAUCACAAAAAAAUGAUGCAUUUUAGAUUCAGGUGGCUCUGCCAUUGUCCAGUUCU
Equus asinus (donkey) is the source of this 1684-nucleotide long non-coding RNA. Lineage: Eukaryota; Metazoa; Chordata; Mammalia; Perissodactyla; Equidae. The record is from Ensembl.